Rhodocollybia butyracea is the source of this 102-nucleotide non-coding RNA. The record is from the annotation of a GenBank genome assembly. Lineage: Eukaryota; Fungi; Basidiomycota; Agaricomycetes; Agaricales; Omphalotaceae.
GGCGCUAUAGCCAAGUGGUUACGGCGACAGAUUAGAAUCACGAAUGUGUGCUCCCUUAUCUGUUCCUCUUUGAGGGCGCAGGUUCGAAUCCUGCUGGCGUCG